UACGUAGGGGGCAAGCGUUAUCCGGAUUUACUGGGUGUAAAGGGAGCGUAGGCGGCGAUGCAAGUCAGAAGUGAAAGCCCGGGGCUCAACUCCGGGACUGCUUUUGAAACUGUAUGGCUAGAUUGCAGGAGAGGCAAGUGGAAUUCCUAGUGUAGCGGUGAAAUGCGUAGAUAUUAGGAGGAACACCAGUAGCGAAGGCGGCUUGCUGGACUGUAAAUGACGCUGAGGCUCGAAAGCGUGGGGAGCAAACAGG
RNAcentral lists this ribosomal RNA (253 nucleotides) under uncultured bacterium. RNAcentral's name for it is "partial 16S ribosomal RNA". It matches the Rfam family "Bacterial small subunit ribosomal RNA", at positions 524 to 776 of the family's 1533-position model. The record is from RNAcentral.